This 148-nucleotide unclassified non-coding RNA is filed under the name uncultured Helotiales. RNAcentral's name for it is "sequence contains ITS2". Lineage: Eukaryota; Fungi; Ascomycota; Leotiomycetes; Helotiales. The record is from RNAcentral.
CAACCCUCAAGCAUUGCUUGGUAUUGGGCUCCGCUGCUCACCCAGCGGGUCUUAAAAUCAGUGGCGGUGCCGUCGAGGCCCUGAGCGUAGUAAAUAUCCUCGCUAUAGGGACUCGGUGGACGCUGGCCAUCAACCCCCAACUUUCUAA